This 73-nucleotide transfer RNA is filed under the name Galaxiella nigrostriata (black-stripe minnow). Its description in RNAcentral is "tRNA-Asp". The record is from RNAcentral. Lineage: Eukaryota; Metazoa; Chordata; Actinopteri; Galaxiiformes; Galaxiidae.
UAGACCCUAGUAAUAAUAAGCAUUACACUGCCUUGUCAAGGCAGAGUUAUGGGAUAAACCCCCAUGUGUCUUG